CGGCCAGGAAGGAGGAGGCAGCCUGAGUGGCCACCACUGGUCUCUGCAGCAGAAGACCCCUUGCUGCCAGAAGCUGGGCACAAGGAAGAAGGAAGAGGGGACAGUCUCUACCCUGCCCUGACUGUCCACGCGAGAUGAGAUGCUGGAUCUGCUACAGCAAGACUGUAGGGCAGCCCACACGGUCAGCAUGAGGGCAGGAGAAGACUCACACUCGAGAGCUGGGCUUCUCUUUGCCAAUCGUGUGUCAGCGCAAAACAAAGUCAGAGCAGGGAGCGUGACCGUGAGCCAAGCUCCAGCUGGGCAGGAUGAGCAUGCCCUACCCAGAUCCCACCCCCAGCUUCAGAAUGAGGUUGGAAAGAAAACUUCCUAUCCAAAUCAUGAUCAAGCUCCCAGCCUCCACCCUUGUGUUUGACCAACACAUGAUCAAAAAUUGGGACUCCUGAAUUAGGGGACGUGUAACCCCAGUCCCGUCCCAGUGGGAAAAAAGCCUGGAGCACCAGCUGCCACCAAGUCACUUUCCUGCAACCCUAAGAGUGACUCCAGACAGACCUUCUACACAAGAUCCUGAGGAGUUUUGCAGUCAUUCCAAACUUUGGUCAAGGAGAAAGCCAAGGAAGACUACCGAAGUGGCCUGAAAUGAAACAGGCCAGUUUGGGCCUGACUGGAUUCAAACUGGCCAAUGCUGUUUGCGUCACAUUGGGCCAGAUUUGGACCCCCUAGCUUU
This is a long non-coding RNA of Hemicordylus capensis (graceful crag lizard), 724 nucleotides long. RefSeq lists it as uncharacterized. NCBI's taxonomy places the organism in Eukaryota, Metazoa, Chordata, Lepidosauria, Squamata, Cordylidae. The transcript is spliced from 5 exons. The record is from RefSeq and is a predicted model, not a curated record.